RNAcentral lists this ribosomal RNA (1240 nucleotides) under uncultured bacterium. RNAcentral describes it as "bacterial SSU rRNA". It matches the Rfam family "Bacterial small subunit ribosomal RNA", at positions 250 to 1482 of the family's 1533-position model. The record is from RNAcentral.
UGGUGAGGUAAUGGCUCACCAAGGCGACGAUCCCUAGCUGGUCUGAGAGGAUGAUCAGCCACACUGGAACUGAGACACGGUCCAGACUCCUACGGGAGGCAGCAGUGGGGAAUAUUGCACAAUGGGCGCAAGCCUGAUGCAGCCAUGCCGCGUGUAUGAAGAAGGCCUUCGGGUUGUAAAGUACUUUCAGCAGUGAGGAAGGGGGUGUCGUUAAUAGCGGCAUCUCUUGACGUUAGCUGCAGAAGAAGCACCGGCUAACUCCGUGCCAGCAGCCGCGGUAAUACGGAGGGUGCGAGCGUUAAUCGGAAUUACUGGGCGUAAAGCGCAUGCAGGUGGUUUGUUAAGUCAGAUGUGAAAGCCCGGGGCUCAACCUCGGAACUGCAUUUGAAACUGGCAAACUAGAGUACUGUAGAGGGGGGUAGAAUUUCAGGUGUAGCGGUGAAAUGCGUAGAGAUCUGAAGGAAUACCAGUGGCGAAGGCGGCCCCCUGGACAGAUACUGACACUCAGAUGCGAAAGCGUGGGGAGCAAACAGGAUUAGAUACCCUGGUAGUCCACGCCGUAAACGAUGUCUACUUGGAGGUUGUGGCCUUGAGCCGUGGCUUUCGGAGCUAACGCGUUAAGUAGACCGCCUGGGGAGUACGGUCGCAAGAUUAAAACUCAAAUGAAUUGACGGGGGCCCGCACAAGCGGUGGAGCAUGUGGUUUAAUUCGAUGCAACGCGAAGAGCCUUACCUACUCUUGACAUCCAGAGAACUUUCCAGAGAUGGAUUGGUGCCUUCGGGAACUCUGAGACAGGUGCUGCAUGGCUGUCGUCAGCUCGUGUUGUGAAAUGUUGGGUUAAGUCCCGCAACGAGCGCAACCCUUAUCCUUGUUUGCCAGCGAGUAAUGUCGGGAACUCCAGGGAGACUGCCGGUGAUAAACCGGAGGAAGGUGGGGACGACGUCAAGUCAUCAUGGCCCUUACGAGUAGGGCUACACACGUGCUACAAUGGCGCAUACAGAGGGCGGCCAACUCGCGAGAGUGAGCGAAUCCCAAAAAGUGCGUCGUAGUCCGGAUUGGAGUCUGCAACUCGACUCCAUGAAGUCGGAAUCGCUAGUAAUCGUAGAUCAGAAUGCUACGGUGAAUACGUUCCCGGGCCUUGUACACACCGCCCGUCACACCAUGGGAGUGGGCUGCAAAAGAAGUGGGUAGUUUAACCUUCGGGAGGACGCUCACCACUUUGUGGUUCAUGACUGGGGUG